GAUGAACGCUCGCGGGAGGCCUAACACAUGCAAGCCGAGCGGUAUUGUUUCUUCGGACAUGAGAGAGCGGCGUACGGGUGCGGAACACGUGUGCAACCUGCCUUUAUCUGGGGGAUAGCCUUUCGAAAGGAAGAUUAAUACUCCAUAACAUAUUGAACGGCAUCGUUCGAUAUUGAAAGCUCCGGCGGAUAGAGAUGGGCACGCGCAAGAUUAGCUAGUUGGUGAGGUAACGGCUCACCAAGGCGAUGAUCUUUAGGGGGCCUGAGAGGGUGAUCCCCCACACUGGUACUGAGACACGGACCAGACUCCUACGGGAGGCAGCAGUGAGGAAUAUUGGUCAAUGGGUGCAAGCCUGAACCAGCCAUCCCGCGUGAAGGACGACUGCCCUAUGGGUUGUAAACUUCUUUUGUAUAGGGAUAAACCUGCCCUCGUGAGGGUAGCUGAAGGUACUAUACGAAUAAGCACCGGCUAACUCCGUG
This 479-nucleotide ribosomal RNA is filed under the name uncultured bacterium. RNAcentral describes it as "partial 16S ribosomal RNA". It matches the Rfam family "Bacterial small subunit ribosomal RNA", at positions 28 to 507 of the family's 1533-position model. The record is from RNAcentral.